This 253-nucleotide ribosomal RNA is filed under the name uncultured bacterium. Its description in RNAcentral is "partial 16S ribosomal RNA". It matches the Rfam family "Bacterial small subunit ribosomal RNA", at positions 524 to 776 of the family's 1533-position model. The record is from RNAcentral.
UACGUAGGGACCAAGCGUUGUUCGGAUUUACUGGGCGUAAAGGGCGCGUAGGCGGCGCGGUCAGUCACUUGUGAAAUCUCUGAGCUUAACUCAGAACGGCCAAGUGAUACUGCAGUGCUAGAGUGUGGAAGGGGCAAUCGGAAUUCUUGGUGUAGCGGUGAAAUGCGUAGAUAUCAAGAGGAACACCUGAGGUCAAGACGGGUUGCUGGGCCAACACUGACGCUGAGGCGCGAAAUCCAGGGGAGCAAACGGG